Small nuclear RNA from Oryctolagus cuniculus (rabbit), 168 nucleotides. Its record names the gene U2. It matches the Rfam family "U2 spliceosomal RNA". Rfam says of the family: U2 is a small nuclear RNA (snRNA) component of the spliceosome (involved in pre-mRNA splicing). Complementary binding between U2 snRNA (in an area lying towards the 5' end but 3' to hairpin I) and the branchpoint sequence (BPS) of the intron results the bulging out of an unpaired adenosine, on the BPS, which initiates a nucleophilic attack at the intronic 5' splice site, thus starting the first of two transesterification reactions that mediate splicing. Lineage: Eukaryota; Metazoa; Chordata; Mammalia; Lagomorpha; Leporidae. The record is from Ensembl.
AUCGCUUCUAGGCCUUUUGGCUAAGAUCAAGUGCAGCAUAUAUGUAUGUGUGUAUAUAUAUAUAUAUAUAUAUAUAUCAGACAGAUUCUUCGAGUACAAUUGUUUUUCUCAGUGGAAAGACAGGUUUCUUAAUCUUCCUGCUCUGUUUUCUUCUUAGAGUCCUCUCAA